AUCUUCUACCCGUGAGGUUUUCAACUGUUCCAUAUCUUUUAUCAUUUUUAAUAAUUGCCCUGACAGGGCUCUACAUGACUAACUGACUCUGUGUGCUCUGCAGGUCUACAUGACUAACUGACUCUGUGUGCUCUGCAGGUCUACAUGACUAACUGACUCUGUGUGCUCUGCAGGUCUACAUGACUAACUGACUCUGUGCUCUGCAGGUCUACAUGACUAACUGACUCUGUGUGCUCUGCAGGUCUACAUGACUAACUGACUCUGUGUGCUCUGCAGGUCUACAUGACUAACUGACUCUGUGUGCUCUGCAGGUCUACAUGACUAACUGACUGUGUGCUCUGCAGCUCUACAUGACUAACUGACUCUGUGUGCUCUGCAGGUCUACAUGACUAACUGACUCUGUGCUCUGCAGGUCUACAUGACUAACUGACUCUGUGUGCUCUGCAGGUCUACAUGACUAACUGACUCUGUGUGCUCUGCAGGUCUACAUGACUAACUGACUCUGUGUGCUCUGCAGGUCUACAUGACUAACUGACUCUGUGCUCUGCAGGUCUACAUGACUAACUGACUCUGUGUGCUCUGCAGGUCUACAUGACUAACUGACUCUGUGUGCUCUGCAGGUCUACAUGACUAACUGACUCUGUGCUCUGCAGGUCUACAUGACUAACUGACUCUGUGUGCUCUGCAGGUCUACAUGACUAACUGACUCUGUGCUCUGCAGGUCUACAUGACUAACUGACUCUGUGUGCUCUGCAGGUCUACAUGACUAACUGACUCUGUGUGCUCUGCAGCUCUACAUGACUAACUGACUCUGUGUGCUCUGCAGGUCUACAUGACUAACUGACUCUGUGCUCUGCAGGUCUACAUGACUAACUGACUCUGUGUGCUCUGCAGGUCUACAUGACUAACUGACUCUGUGUGCUCUGCAGGUCUACAUGACUAACUGACUCUGUGUGCUCUGCAGGUCUACAUGACUAACUGACUCUGUGUGCUCUGCAGGUCUACAUGACUAACUGACUCUGU
Oncorhynchus keta (chum salmon) is the source of this 1023-nucleotide long non-coding RNA. RefSeq lists it as uncharacterized. The transcript is spliced from 3 exons. The record is from RefSeq and is a predicted model, not a curated record. NCBI's taxonomy places the organism in Eukaryota, Metazoa, Chordata, Actinopteri, Salmoniformes, Salmonidae.